UUGGGUAACUCCAUCUGAAUUAAGGAGGCCGUUGUACCUCCCCUCCCCUGGCUACAGGACUAAUUGAAACCAUAGUAAAUUUUACAUAUUUCGGUUUAUAUGAUUUUAUAAUGGCAUACAGGUUUGGUCUGAGCAUGUUAGCAGGAAAAAAAUACUAAUAGCUUUUAGCCAAUUUAUAAUUUUAAUUUAUUUCAUCCUCUUGAGUAUUAUAAUGCGGUACAUUGUCCAUCACGAUAACACUAUCGGAAAGUACAUUACUUAACAAUUUUUCAUCUAAGUAACCACUUUUGUAGUCGACAAAAUUCAGAUUAUCAUGGUAAUCACCCGAUUUUGUUUUGGACUUCCAUAUCAAAAGAUCUACAAAAAAAAAAUUUCAAAAAAUUUUCUGACUGUAUUCUUUCCAUCUCUCCAAUGUGUCUCUGGCAGUAUAAUUAUUUCGUUAUUAUUAUUGCUUAAUAUUGUUUCUUGUCACUUUCUUAUGGACAUUAAAUAUUUGGUAUCUUUCCUGAAAUUAUUCAAUUUCCCGGUAUUUUGUUGACAUCUACAGUCGGAAAAAUGAAAGAAUACCAAUGAACGAAUAUAUAAAACACGCUGUAUUUUCCUGUCACCGUAUCAGAAAGAAAAUUGUCCAGUGCAAGUACAUGUAACAAUAAUUAUUACAUGUACGUGCGCUGGCCAAUUUUUUGUGUGACCCGGUGACCGGAAAAUACAGCGUGUUUUAUAUGUUCGUUCAUGGGUAUUCUUUUUUGAGAUGACUAUUUUUCUUUUCUUUUUUAACUUUCAGUAAUCAUUUUAGUCUAAAAUCCAUUAAAAUUAAUUGAAUUUUAUUAGGUUUUAGUAGAUUUUAUGUACUUGUUUAAGAUGUGGCCGAGCAAAAUAAAGUCAAUUUGAUUCCUAACAAUUAUAUCUUCUCUGAUGUUGUUUAAAGAAGGUGUUGACUAGUAAAAGGUUUCCUACGCAGAAUUGUACAAGUUUUCAAAGGAGAAAAAUAUGUUCCGAGUACAUGAUGAAGAGAAAGGGUGAUAGAAUAUAUCCCUGUAGUACUUCUCGUUGAAUUUGUAGCGAUCACGCUACUAAUUAAAUUAAUUUAAUUAAAAUUGGAUUAAAAUAUACCCCUCUACAAAAUCCUUGGGUGACGCCCGCGAAGAUCCAACUACGAUUUUUCGGUGCACAGGCGCGCCAAUAGAAAGAAAAUCGAUGAUUGUCGAUUUCUAGUUUAGUUGGUCACGAACUCACAAAGAGGCAACACAUCGUCAUUACUUAGGUGACGGAGUUUGGGCAAAAUUGGGAAAAUAUAUAACUAAAAGACCUCGAACAUCAGCCAAUAACCCAUACUAAUAAAAAUCAAGCAGUAGUUAUAUCUGGAGACUUAUUUACAAGAAAGGAAAAAGGUUAUAAUACCGCCGAUGUGUUGCUUUGCUCAAAUUCCGUCCCGUAGCUACUUGUCACAUAGACACUUAGCCUAGUCAAUUUAUAUAGAUUGUAUCAUCAUUUAAUGUGCCAUCAUAUAAAUAUGUGCCAGUUACUGUAAGCAGCUAGGGUAUGGGUUACCCCUAGAGUUACUUUUGAUUGGAUUGGAUAGUACCUAUUUCACAACAUCCAGGAUUGGAUUUAUCACCACAGCAGCCCACUAGUUUUUGCCGUGCCAAGAGGAAAUUCAUUCCUAUCUGGACCUUUUUAAAUAGGACUUGUGGUUAAGAUAAGUUGUUUAAUCUUAUUAUUUACAUAUUUUGGGUACUCUAUAGUUGCUUGCACUGUAAACUUCUUGUAUGCAUACAAUUGAGGUAAACUAGGUACAUAUUUCUUGAUAGAUAGGGUUUUAGGUCGUUGGUUUUUUUUUUUAAUUUAAUAGAAGUAGUAGUUUCCAAUAAAUAAAAUUAGGUCUUGUUCAAUAAUCAUUAUAAAUAAAAAUUGUAGCUUAAAAAUUUGAUCGGGAAGGGGUCGUUAAAGGUUUGUCGCGGAUUUCAAAUAGGGAAUAUGUCUUGUAGGUUUUUACAUUGUAUAUAAAGAGUAACUGACCAACUCAUUUAUACAACUCAUUUAUAUCACUCAUUUAUAUAACUCAUUAUAUAUUUACUUAUUAGUGUUUUUGCUAGGUGAGAUCUUUAUUAUUUUUGGUAACCGUAGCGUUCUUGUUGUGGAUCUCACUCUAGCGUAGUUCAAUUUAGGAAAUAAUUACUAACUUUUUAGUUGUAAGGACUUAGUGCUAUUCUGACGGACUUUUGAUUUGGAUUUUGAUUUUAAUACUUUUGCUUGGCCAGUGAUAGUGGAUAAUUGCUUGUUGAGUGGCCUUUGCGGUCCUAUUUUAUCUUUUCCCCAUCCACUAUCACUGUUAUUACGUUGCGUUAUAUGUAAAGUGUUAACAUUUAAUAUUUAUUAUUAAUAUAUUUGUAUGUAUUAA
Long non-coding RNA from Diabrotica virgifera virgifera (western corn rootworm), 2401 nucleotides. RefSeq lists it as uncharacterized. The transcript is spliced from 2 exons. NCBI's taxonomy places the organism in Eukaryota, Metazoa, Arthropoda, Insecta, Coleoptera, Chrysomelidae. The record is from RefSeq and is a predicted model, not a curated record.